RNAcentral lists this ribosomal RNA (253 nucleotides) under uncultured bacterium. RNAcentral's name for it is "partial 16S ribosomal RNA". It matches the Rfam family "Bacterial small subunit ribosomal RNA", at positions 524 to 776 of the family's 1533-position model. The record is from RNAcentral.
UACGUAGGGUGCAGGCGUUAAUCGGAAUUACUGGGCGUAAAGCGUGCGCAGGCGGUUUGCUAAGACAGGUGUGAAAUCCCCGGGCUUAACCUGGGAACUGCGCCUGUAACUGGCAAGCUAGAGUGUGGCAGAGGGGGGUGGAAUUCCACGUGUAGCAGUGAAAUGCGUAGAGAUGUGGAGGAACACCGAUGGCGAAGGCAGCCCCCUGGGCUAACACUGACGCUCAUGCACGAAAGCGUGGGGAGCAAACAGG